AAAAUUGGUAAGUGCAAGGAAAAGAAAGAUGAGAAAAAGAAAAAGUGUGUAGAAACAUCCGUUUCUACCGAGAAAUAAAAGAGAAAAAGAAAUGAAAAAUAAAAAAAGGUAUCUAUAUAGAGAAAUGAAAAAAAAAAGCACUUGCCUUAGAAAUAUACUCAUGUAUUAAUAUGAAUUUGAGGGGAAAAAGAGUCAAGAGUGAAGGACGGCCGCAAAAUAAAAUUCUUGCACAAAGAAAAACAACAACAUGAAUGCCGAGCUGUAAAAC
RNAcentral lists this long non-coding RNA (268 nucleotides) under Lathyrus oleraceus (garden pea). RNAcentral describes it as "Pisum sativum (pea) long non-coding RNA (PSAT_LNC025171)". The record is from RNAcentral. Lineage: Eukaryota; Viridiplantae; Streptophyta; Magnoliopsida; Fabales; Fabaceae.